RNAcentral lists this ribosomal RNA (267 nucleotides) under uncultured bacterium. RNAcentral's name for it is "partial 16S ribosomal RNA". It matches the Rfam family "Bacterial small subunit ribosomal RNA", at positions 793 to 1055 of the family's 1533-position model. The record is from RNAcentral.
GUCCACGCUGUAAACGUUGCGAACUAGGUGUCGGGGGUAUUCACCCCUCCGGUGCCGAAGCUAACGUCUUAAGUUCGCCGCCUGGGAAGUACGGCCGCAAGGCUAAAACUCAAAGGAAUUGACGGGGGCCCGCACAAGCGGUGGAGCAUGUGGUUCAAUUCGAUGCAACGCGAAGAACCUUACCUGGGCUUGACAUCCCCGAGAAUCUCUCAGAAAUGAGGGAGUGCCCGUAAGGGAACUCGGAGACAGGUGCUGCAUGGCUGUCGU